GGGGGUGACCGGUCUCGACGGGAACACCUAGGCGAGGCGGCAAGCGGAGCUCCCGCAUGCUCCUAAAACCUGCGGGAACGGCAAAAUAAAUGCCGACUAUGCAGCUGUUCCUGCCUACGCCCUGAACUAGCGUAGGCCAUCCUCAGGGCCCGGGCCCGCGGGGCCUUGUGGGUGUGGACUUAGCGGGCUAGCCCGGGUGGCGCGCCUCCCGCCUGCCGGGCGACAUCUAAGGAGGCUGGGGCUGCGGGAUCCUGCCCGUGGGAGCCCAAUGCCCAAGAGACAAAGCACGGGCUAAGCUUGUAGAAGCCGAGCUGACGGUGUUUCCGGACGCGGGUUCGAAUCCCGCCACCUCCACCA
Molecule: transfer-messenger RNA, 357 nt
Filed under: Candidatus Bipolaricaulota bacterium
Lineage: Bacteria; Candidatus Bipolaricaulota
Also listed under: 2 other names
Rfam family: transfer-messenger RNA
About the family: Bacterial tmRNA, also known as 10Sa RNA or SsrA, is named for its dual tRNA and mRNA-like properties. Its role is to liberate the mRNA from a stalled ribosome. To accomplish this part of the tmRNA is used as a reading frame that ends in a translation stop signal.
Source: RNAcentral